Molecule: ribosomal RNA, 244 nt
Filed under: uncultured Staphylococcus sp.
Lineage: Bacteria; Bacillati; Bacillota; Bacilli; Caryophanales; Staphylococcaceae
Description: partial 16S ribosomal RNA
Rfam family: Bacterial small subunit ribosomal RNA
Source: RNAcentral
CGGCGGACGGGUGAGUAACACGUGGAUAACCUACCUAUAAGACUGGGAUAACUUCGGGAAACCGGAGCUAAUACCGGAUAAUAUUUUGAACCGCAUGGUUCAAAAGUGAAAGACGGUCUUGCUGUCACUUAUAGAUGGAUCCGCGUUGCAUUAGCUAGUUGGUAAGGUAACGGCUUACCAAGGCAACGAUGCAUAGCCGACCUGAGAGGGUGAUCGGCCACACUGGAACUGAGACACGGUCCAG